GUACGCUGGCGGCACGCCUUAUACAUGCAAGUCGAACGAAGUAGCAAUACUUAGUGGCAGACGGGUGAGUAACAUGUAGGUAUCUUCCCUUUGGUGAGGAAUAACACGAGGAAACUUGUGCUAAUACCUCAUAAGUCUUUACAGAGAAAGCUUUAUGCGCCGAAGGAUGAGCCUGCACUUGAUUAGUUUGUUGGUGGGGUAAUGGCUUACCAAGACUUUGAUCAAUAGCUGAUCUGAGAGGAUGAUCAGCCACAUUGGGACUGAGACACGGCCCAAACUCCUACGGGAGGCAGCAGUAGGGAAUAUUGCACAAUGGAGGAAACUCUGAUGCAGCGAUGCCGCGUGAGUGAAGAAGGCCUUUGGGUUGUAAAGCUCUUUCGUCGGGGAAGAAAAUGACUGUACCCGAAUAAGAAGGUCCGGCUAACU
Molecule: ribosomal RNA, 426 nt
Filed under: uncultured bacterium
Lineage: Bacteria
Description: bacterial SSU rRNA
Rfam family: Bacterial small subunit ribosomal RNA
Source: RNAcentral